GACUUUAGUAAGCCACCUAAACCUUAAGAGACAUCUUGAAUCUUCCAUCCUAUGUUCGGCCAAGACACUUUGAUGACCAACACUUCACCUUUUGAAAGCACAAGUUGAAUGCUCCACUCCAUGCGCAAGGAAAACUAUCACCCAAGACUGAAUAUUGCUCAUAUUAACUCAGAGCAUAACACUACCAUUCUGCACCCUCCAUCAACUGUCCAUCAAGUCGAAGGCUUGCAGGCUCCUUCCUCCUCCCUAUUCCCCACAAACCGUGAGCUACAUAAGAGGACAACGACCAUCCAAGUUUUCAUUCUUUCCCUGCAUGGUUUGGAUGAUUGGCAGCAGCCAAGGAGAGCACACCAUGAGUUCAUCCUUCAUACGUUUCUUGUUUGGCCGCGUGUUAUAUAAUUGUAGAAAUUUUCCUUACUCACUUGUCACCCUUCUUUCUUCGGUCUGAUGAGGAGAUUCAUUGCAUGCAGAUUACUCCCUUGGUUUUUAAUAGAACUCCCUUGCAUGCAGCGUCAAACCCAACAACAACAAGAAAGAGCAGCAUCUUUGAGUUCUGACUCAAUUUCCUUCGCCCACAAGAACAAUGAGAAUGUGAGGUGCUGCCCCUUUUUGGUUGAUACUCAUGGACUGAUUUGAAAGCAGGUUGGGAACGUAUAAAAGGUGUGCUAACUUCGAAAAGAGUGGGCUGAUUGUUGGUGUUUUGAUUAAAAAGGGUUAAAGACUCGAGGAAGACGUAAAAGCAUUUGACGAAGUAUUUGAUUUGGACAUGUUCUGUUUAUUUGCUGCUCCUAUUUUGGAAAUUUUGAUGUGACAUGCUGUUUCUGUUGAUUGUUAGCUGAUCACUCUAGUAUGUUGUACUAUUUUGAGAUGCUGGAAGAAAAUGAUAGAACAUGCCUCAAUUUGUUGUAUUUGGAUUCUUAUGGUUAGUUGUAAAUUGUAAGGUUCUGGUCAUAUUUCGCAAAA
Molecule: long non-coding RNA, 963 nt
Organism: Gastrolobium bilobum
Lineage: Eukaryota; Viridiplantae; Streptophyta; Magnoliopsida; Fabales; Fabaceae
Exons: 4
Source: RefSeq, a predicted model, not a curated record